Nothoprocta perdicaria is the source of this 252-nucleotide long non-coding RNA. RefSeq lists it as uncharacterized. The transcript has 2 exons. The record is from RefSeq and is a predicted model, not a curated record. NCBI's taxonomy places the organism in Eukaryota, Metazoa, Chordata, Aves, Tinamiformes, Tinamidae.
CCUUCRGCUGAUGUCCAGAGACAGCUUGGAGUACCUCAAAUGGACAGUGUUGUAUCACUACAACUAUUGCUAUUUCUAUAAUGAAUGGCAGCCCGCUUCAUUCUGAGCAGCAGCAACUCAUCCGAUCACAAUGAGGUUAACUGAGCAAGGAACGCUUUUCCAGAGGGUUGUACAUUGCUUUCAAUACUGAGAGUUAACACUUACAGCAGUAGGGGUUUGUAGAGCUGAUUUUUGUGAAAUGAAAUAAGAAAC